CCCUUAGAUGUUCUGGGCCGCACGCGCGCUACACUGAUGCAUUCAACGAGUUUCUUCCUGGUCCGAGAGGAAUGGGUAACCUUUUGAAAGUGCAUCGUGAUAGGGAUAGACUAUUGCAAUUAUUGGUCUUCAACGAGGAAUUCCUAGUAGACGUAGUUCAUCAGACUGCAUCGAUUACGUCCCUGCCCUUUGUACACACCGCCCGUCGCUCCUACCGAUUGGGUGUGCUGGUUAAAUGUUCGGAUCGGCCGUUUGUCGCGGUUUCCGCGUCAUGUGGCUGAGAAGUUCAUUAAACCCUCCCACCUAGAGGAAGGAGAAGUCGUAACA
This 327-nucleotide ribosomal RNA is filed under the name uncultured eukaryote. Its description in RNAcentral is "partial 18S ribosomal RNA". It matches the Rfam family "Eukaryotic small subunit ribosomal RNA", at positions 1470 to 1796 of the family's 1831-position model. The record is from RNAcentral.